CGUGUAGGCGGUAUAUUAAGUCAGAUGUGAAAACCCCGGGCUUAACUCGGGAGGUGCAUUUGAAACUGAUAGACUUGAGUGCAGGAGAGGAAAGUGGAAUUCCUAGUGUAGCGGUGAAAUGCGUAGAUAUUAGGAGGAACAUCAGUGGCGAAGGCGACUUUCUGGACUGUAACUGACGCUGAGGCGCGAAAGCGUGGGGAGCAAACAGGAUUAGAUACCCUGGUAGUCCACGCUGUAAACGAUGAAUACUAGGUGUAGGAGGUAUCGACCCCUUCUGUGCCGGAGCUAACGCAAUAAGUAUUCCGCCUGGGGAGUACGGCCGCAAGGUUGAA
Molecule: ribosomal RNA, 332 nt
Filed under: uncultured bacterium
Lineage: Bacteria
Description: bacterial SSU rRNA
Rfam family: Bacterial small subunit ribosomal RNA
Source: RNAcentral